AUUGAACGCUGGCGGCAGGCCUAACACAUGCAAGUCGAGCGGAUGAAGGGAGCUUGCUCCUGGAUUCAGCGGCGGACGGGUGAGUAAUGCCUAGGAAUCUGCCUGGUAGUGGGGGAUAACGUCCGGAAACGGGCGCUAAUACCGCAUACGUCCUGAGGGAGAAAGUGGGGGAUCUUCGGACCUCACGCUAUCAGAUGAGCCUAGGUCGGAUUAGCUAGUUGGUGGGGUAAAGGCCUACCAAGCGACGAUCCGUAACUGGUCUGAGAGGAUGAUCAGUCACACUGGAACUGAGACACGGUCCAGACUCCUACGGGAGGCAGCAGUGGGGAAUAUUGGACAAUGGGCGAAAGCCUGAUCCAGCCAUGCCGCGUGUGUGAAGAAGGUCUUCGGAUUGUAAAGCACUUUAAGUUGGGAGGAAGGGCAGUAAGUUAAUACCUUGCUGCUUUGACGUUACCAACAGAAUAAGCACCGGCUAACUUCGUG
RNAcentral lists this ribosomal RNA (483 nucleotides) under uncultured bacterium. Its description in RNAcentral is "partial 16S ribosomal RNA". It matches the Rfam family "Bacterial small subunit ribosomal RNA", at positions 30 to 507 of the family's 1533-position model. The record is from RNAcentral.